RNAcentral lists this unclassified non-coding RNA (921 nucleotides) under Hevea brasiliensis (rubber tree). The record is from RNAcentral. Lineage: Eukaryota; Viridiplantae; Streptophyta; Magnoliopsida; Malpighiales; Euphorbiaceae.
GCCAAGAAUUGCCCUUAACAUCAAAUCUGCUGAUUAUGAGUUUCUUCAGGAAACUCCUGGAUCAAAAAGUCAGCUCCUUCUUGAAUCCAAUCCUGUCCACAAGAAAAUCCCAGUUCUCAUUCACAAUGGUAAGCCCAUUUGUGAAUCUCUCAUCAUUGUUGAGUACAUUGAUGAGGUUUGGUCAUCUGGUCCAUCUAUUCUUCCUUCUGAUCCUUAUGAUCGUGCCAUUGCAAGAUUUUGGGGUGCCUAUGUUGAUGAGAAGUGGUUCCCAAACCUGAGAAUCCUUUCAACUGCUGAAGGAGAGGCAAGAGAUCAGGUUAUAGGGACAUUGGUUGAAGGGCUUGUACUGCUGGAGGAUGCAUUUGUUAAGAUUAGCAAAGGGAAGGCUUUCUUUGGAGGAGACCAAAUUGGGUACCUUGACAUAGCAUUUGGUUGCUACUUGGGGUGGUUGAGAGCCUCAGAGAAGAUGAAUGUAGUGAAGCUGCUAGAUGAAGCAAAUACUCCUGGUCUUGUAAAAUGGGCUGACACGUUCUCUGCUCAUCCUGCUGUGAAGGAUGUCAUGCCAGAAAUUGAUAAGCUUGUUGAGUUUGGAAAGUCUCUUGCAGCCAAAUUCAGAGCUGCAAAAACUGGGUCCUCCUAAUUAAGUAACCAUAUCAUGCCUGUUCAGCUAGUGUGUUGUUUUGAUUGCUAGAACGAAAAAGCUGCCUCAAAUUGUGAUGAAUCUUGAAACUUCAUUAUUUAGAACUAAAUUCGAGUUACUAUGAACAAUGAAAAUGUCAGGCAGCUAGUGUGCUGUUUCUGCUUUGCUAGAUUGUUGAAACGAUGCCUGUAGUACCAUGAGAGCUUAUAUAUUACAGAAAUAAAAUUGAAUUAGUAGGGACAAUAAAGAAAGAUGGUACUACAGGCAUCGUUUCAACAAUC